CCUACGGGCGGCAGCAGUGAGGAAUAUUGGUCAAUGGACGAGAGUCUGAACCAGCCAAGUAGCGUGAAGGAGGACUGCCCUAUGGGUUGUAAACUUCUUUUAUAUGGGAAUAAAAUGUUCCACGUGUGGGAUUUUGUAUGUACCAUAUGAAUAAGGAUCGGCUAACUCCGUGCCAGCAGCCGCGGUAAUACGGAGGAUCCGAGCGUUAUCCGGAUUUAUUGGGUUUAAAGGGAGCGUAGGUGGAUUGUUAAGUCAGUUGUGAAAGUUUGCGGCUCAACCGUAAAAUUGCAGUUGAAACUGGCAGUCUUGAGUACAGUAGAGGUGGGCGGAAUUCGUGGUGUAGCGGUGAAAUGCUUAGAUAUCACGAAGAACUCCGAUUGCGAAGGCAGUUCACUGGACUGCAACUGACACUGAGGCUCGAAAGUGUGGGUAUCAAACAGGAGUAGAUACCCUUGUAGUC
Molecule: ribosomal RNA, 460 nt
Filed under: uncultured bacterium
Lineage: Bacteria
Description: partial 16S ribosomal RNA
Rfam family: Bacterial small subunit ribosomal RNA
Source: RNAcentral